CCCUUAGAUGUCCGGGGCUGCACGCGCGCUACACUGAAGGAAUCAGCGUGCUAAAACCAUUGUCGAAAGGCAUUGGUAAACCCAUUAAAAUCCUACGUGAUUGGGAUCGGGAAUUGCAAUUAUUUCCCUUGAACGAGGAAUUCCCAGUAAGUGUGGGUCAUAAGCUCGCGUUGAUUACGUCCCUGCCCUUUGUACAUACCGCCCGUCGUUGCCCGGGACUGAGCCGUUUCGAGAAAAGCGGGGACUGCUGCUGUCGGGGCUUUCGGGCCUUGGCUUCGGUGGAAACCGCUUUAAUCGCAGUGGCUUGAACCGGGCAAAAGUCGUAACA
RNAcentral lists this ribosomal RNA (328 nucleotides) under uncultured eukaryote. Its description in RNAcentral is "partial 18S ribosomal RNA". It matches the Rfam family "Eukaryotic small subunit ribosomal RNA", at positions 1470 to 1796 of the family's 1831-position model. The record is from RNAcentral.